GGUCAAUGAUGAGCAGUAAAAGGUCUGAUUACCCACAGUCCUCUCCUGCUGCCCUCUGGCUCCCAGCAGCCCUUGCUCUCUGCUCCCAUCAUGCUCUAGUGGUGCAGUGGUGGUCCCAGCAGCUGCUGACAGACAGGAUGUGACAUCACAGCGUGGGCCUGUACAGAGCUCCUGCAGGCCCACAGUGAUUGACAUCCCACAGAACCAAUCAGCACGGAGCGUCAGGCUGAGGGGGCGGGGCCUGAGUGCUGAUCUCACUCUUCUACUGAGACU
Morone saxatilis (striped sea-bass) is the source of this 273-nucleotide non-coding RNA. RefSeq annotates it as small Cajal body-specific RNA 6. The transcript has a single exon. The record is from RefSeq and is a predicted model, not a curated record. NCBI's taxonomy places the organism in Eukaryota, Metazoa, Chordata, Actinopteri, Moronidae.